UGCGAGAAGGUUGCUUCAAGGGCCUCUCCCGCGUGCCUGGCGCCCACCUUUGGCCCUGAGGGUCGAGUGGGGAGCCCCACGACCCUCUUACAGCCUUCCAGAUGCACGGACUGGGAAACUGGGGCUCAGAGAGGUCAAGUGGCUCGCCCAAGGUCACCCAGCGAGUGAUCCUGGGAAGAGGGGACAAGGGUCGAGCUGGAGCUGGGAAGGGCGCCCCAGUUCGCCCCAGCCGCGCUCUGAGGAAAAGCAGCGGGACCGUCCUGCUCUCUAAAGCUCCGUGGACUUCUUUAAGUUAUGUCGCGUUGCUGUCCCCUCGUAUUUACAAGAGAGUAAGGCAGGGGCGCCGUACUUUCUCCUCUCCUGAGCUCAGAGGGCCAACCUCCUGCGAUCCGCCAGCUCAGAGUCUCAACUUGCAAGAAGCAGAAAAAUGA
Long non-coding RNA from Macaca nemestrina (pig-tailed macaque), 431 nucleotides. NCBI's taxonomy places the organism in Eukaryota, Metazoa, Chordata, Mammalia, Primates, Cercopithecidae. The record is from Ensembl.